AUUGAACGCUGGCGGCAUGCCUUACACAUGCAAGUCGAACGGCAGCACGGGUGCUUGCACCUGGUGGCGAGUGGCGAACGGGUGAGUAAUACAUCGGAACAUGUCCUGUAGUGGGGGAUAGCCCGGCGAAAGCCGGAUUAAUACCGCAUACGAUCUACGGAUGAAAGCGGGGGACCUUCGGGCCUCGCGCUAUAGGGUUGGCCGAUGGCUGAUUAGCUAGUUGGUGGGGUAAAGGCCUACCAAGGCGACGAUCAGUAGCUGGUCUGAGAGGACGACCAGCCACACUGGGACUGAGACACGGCCCAGACUCCUACGGGAGGCAGCAGUGGGGAAUUUUGGACAAUAGGCGAAAGCCUGAUCCAGCAAUGCCGCGUGUGUGAAGAAGGCCUUCGGGUUGUAAAGCACGUUUGUCCGGAAAGAAAUCCUUGGCCCUAAUACGGUCGGGGGAUGACGGUACCGGAAGAAUAAGCACCGGCUAACUACGUGC
Molecule: ribosomal RNA, 487 nt
Filed under: uncultured bacterium
Lineage: Bacteria
Description: partial 16S ribosomal RNA
Rfam family: Bacterial small subunit ribosomal RNA
Source: RNAcentral